UAUCCGGAAUUAUUGGGCGUAAAGCGUCCGUAGGUGGUCAUGUAAGUCGGUCGUCAAAGCCAGAGGCUCAACCUCUGUCCGGCGGUGGAAACUGCAAGACUAGAGAGAGGUAGGGGUAGAGGUGAAUUCCCAGUGUAGCGGUGAAAUGCGUAGAGAUUGGGAAGAACAUCAGUGGCGAAAGCGCUCUAUUGGACAUUUUCUGACACUGAUGGACGAAAGCUAGGGGAGCGAAUGCGGAUAUAGAUACCCCAGUAGUCCUAGCCGUAAACGAUGGAUACUAGACGUUGUCUGCAUCGACCCAGACAGUGUCGUAGCUAACGCGAUAAGUAUCCCGCCUGGGGAGUACGCACGCAAGAUGUGAAACUCAAAGGAAUUGACGGGGGCCCGCACAAGCGGUGGAGUAUGUGGUUUAAUUCGAUGCAACGCGAAGAACCUUACCAGGGCUUGACAUGUCGCGAAUCUUCGGGAAACCGGAGAGUGCCUUCGGGCAUGCGACACACAGGUGGUGCAUGGCUGUCGUCAGUCUCGUGUCGUGAGAUGUUGGGUUAAGUCCCGCAACGAGCGCAACCCUCGUCCUUAGUUGCCAUCAUUAAGUUGGGCACUCUGGGGAGACUGCCGGUGACAAACCGGAGGAAGGYGGGGAUGACGUCWAGUCAGCAUGCCCCUUACGUCMUGGGCGACACACGYAYUACAAUGMKACGGACAAWGGGCAGCGAACCAGCSAYGGUCAGCUAAUCCCACAWACCGUKGMUCAGUUCAGAUCGCAGGCUGCAAYUCGCYUGCKUSAASGSGRRAUCGYWAGURAUMGCCGGWCASCAUACGGCGGUGAAUUCGUUCCCGGGCCUUGUACACACCGCCCGUCACACCAUGGGAGCUGGUUUAGCCCGAAGUCGUUACCCUAUACCCUGCAUAGGGGGGGGGACGCCGAAGCGCUGGGCUGGUGACUGGGUGUG
Molecule: ribosomal RNA, 953 nt
Filed under: uncultured bacterium
Lineage: Bacteria
Description: partial 16S rRNA
Rfam family: Bacterial small subunit ribosomal RNA
Source: RNAcentral